GCGUAAGCGCACGCAGGCGGUCUGUCAAGUCGGAUGUGAAAUCCCCGGGCUCAACCUGGGAACUGCAUUCGAAACUGGCAGGCUAGAGUCUUGUAGAGGGGGGUAGAAUUCCAGGUGUAGCGGUGAAAUGCGUAGAGAUCUGGAGGAAUACCGGUGGCGAAGGCGGCCCCCUGGACAAAGACUGACGCUCAGGUGCGAAAGCGUGGGGAGCAAACAGGAUUAGAUACCCUGGUAGUCCACGCCGUAAACGAUGUCGACUUGGAGGUUGUGCCCUUGAGGCGUGGCUUCCGGAGCUAACGCGUUAAGUCGACCGCCUGGGGAGUACGGCCGCAAGGUUAAAACUCAGAUGAAUUGACGGGGGCCCGCACAAGCGG
This 374-nucleotide ribosomal RNA is filed under the name Enterobacter asburiae. RNAcentral describes it as "bacterial SSU rRNA". It matches the Rfam family "Bacterial small subunit ribosomal RNA", at positions 558 to 932 of the family's 1533-position model. The record is from RNAcentral. Lineage: Bacteria; Pseudomonadati; Pseudomonadota; Gammaproteobacteria; Enterobacterales; Enterobacteriaceae.